RNAcentral lists this ribosomal RNA (504 nucleotides) under Lygodactylus picturatus (Yellow-headed dwarf gecko). RNAcentral describes it as "partial 16S ribosomal RNA". It matches the Rfam family "Bacterial large subunit ribosomal RNA", at positions 1842 to 2597 of the family's 2925-position model. Lineage: Eukaryota; Metazoa; Chordata; Lepidosauria; Squamata; Gekkonidae. The record is from RNAcentral.
AGUAUUAAGGUCCUGCCUGCCCAGUGAAACUUUCAACGGCCGCGGUAUCCUAACCGUGCAAAGGUAGCGCAAUCCCUUGCCCCUUAAUUAGGGGCUAGUAUGAAUGGCCACAUGAGGGCUCAACUGUCUCCUAGGACCAAGUAAUGAAAUUGAAACUCCCGUACAAAUGCUGGAAUAUUCACAUAAGACGAGAAGACCCUGUGGAACUUCAACUACUAUACUAGCAAACAACCCCCCCUAGUAAAACUUUCAGUUGGGGCAACUGUGGAGCAAAACAAAACCUCCAUAAACACGAUUCAUCAUCGCCUUUAAGGCCACCACGCCAACAUAAACAACACAUGACCCGGCACAGCCGAUUAAUGAACCAAGCUACCCCAGGGAUAACAGCGCCAUCCCCUUCAAGAGUUCCUAUCGCCAAGGGGGUUUACGACCUCGAUGUUGGAUCAGGACCCCCCGGUGGUGUAGCCGCUACCAAAGGUUCGUUUGUUCAACGAAUAAUGUCCU